GUCGUCGUGGCCGAGUGGUUAAGGCGAUGAACUAGAAAUCCAUUGGGGUUUCCCCGCGUAGGUUCGAAUCCUACGGACGACG
Molecule: transfer RNA, 82 nt
Filed under: Octopus vulgaris (common octopus)
Lineage: Eukaryota; Metazoa; Mollusca; Cephalopoda; Octopoda; Octopodidae
Also listed under: 1 other name
Rfam family: tRNA
About the family: Transfer RNA (tRNA) molecules are approximately 80 nucleotides in length. Their secondary structure includes four short double-helical elements and three loops (D, anti-codon, and T loops). Further hydrogen bonds mediate the characteristic L-shaped molecular structure. tRNAs have two regions of fundamental functional importance: the anti-codon, which is responsible for specific mRNA codon recognition, and the 3' end, to which the tRNAs corresponding amino acid is attached (by aminoacyl-tRNA synthetases). tRNAs cope with the degeneracy of the genetic code in two manners: having more than one tRNA (with a specific anti-codon) for a particular amino acid; and 'wobble' base-pairing, i.e. permitting non-standard base-pairing at the 3rd anti-codon position.
Source: Rfam by way of RNAcentral